CUUGCACGGGUACUCGAGUGGCGAACGGGUGAGUAACACGUGGGUGAUCUGCCCUUCACUUCGGGAUAAGCCUGGGAAACUGGGUCUAAUACUGGAUAGGACCAUCGUUUAGUGUCGGUGGUGGAAAGUUUUUUCGGUGGAGGAUGAGCUCGCGGCCUAUCAGCUUGUUGGUGGGGUAAUGGCCUACCAAGGCGACGACGGGUAGCCGGCCUGAGAGGGUGGACGGCCACAUUGGGACUGAGACACGGCCCAG
Molecule: ribosomal RNA, 253 nt
Filed under: uncultured Actinomycetales bacterium
Lineage: Bacteria; Bacillati; Actinomycetota; Actinomycetes; Actinomycetales
Description: partial 16S ribosomal RNA
Rfam family: Bacterial small subunit ribosomal RNA
Source: RNAcentral